CCAGCCAGAGUCAGUGGAUGAGAUGGUGGUUCGGAAACCAAAAUUGAAGUUGGUGUCAAAUCAGGUGUAAAAUCCACCUUGUAUGCAGCAUAUUCAGCUAGACAGGCUUGUCACCUUUGAUGUCCAGGGGGCCUUGGUAGUUCGUCAACAGGCAGCAAACUGCCCAUAGUUGGUUGAUGGAGCCGGCCAAGGAGAGAGGAACAACCCCAUCCCAGAUAUGACACAGUGUGGAUUAUUGGUGACUGGUCCGUCGAGGUGCC
Labrus bergylta (ballan wrasse) is the source of this 260-nucleotide non-coding RNA. NCBI's taxonomy places the organism in Eukaryota, Metazoa, Chordata, Actinopteri, Labriformes, Labridae. The record is from RefSeq and is a predicted model, not a curated record.